This is a long non-coding RNA of Mauremys reevesii (Reeves's turtle), 354 nucleotides long. RefSeq lists it as uncharacterized. NCBI's taxonomy places the organism in Eukaryota, Metazoa, Chordata, Testudines, Geoemydidae. The record is from RefSeq and is a predicted model, not a curated record. The transcript has 3 exons.
GACGGGCUCAGCCUGCAGACGUGUCCCUCUCUCCAGCACAAGUUGCACUAACUUGGGGAAGGGAGGGGGGGCUGCGGGAAAGCGCCCGCGAGGUUUCCGAGGAGAAUAGGGUUUACCUGUGGUUAGAUUGUCAUUGAUUUUCAAAGGCACCCUCAGGAUGUAGACCAGGAAAAGCAUGAUGAAGAACCACAGGGUCCAGAGAUCUCUUUCCACUCGACUACCCAAGAACUCAGACUCCAGCUGUCACUCAGGAGACUGACAGCAAAUACCACUUUUACACCUCUAAGUAGAAAAAGUUUCUGACUUCGUCAUCUUUCAACUGCCUCCUCUUCAGCCCUCUCAACUGCAACAGAA